Sistotremastrum niveocremeum HHB9708 is the source of this 85-nucleotide non-coding RNA. NCBI's taxonomy places the organism in Eukaryota, Fungi, Basidiomycota, Agaricomycetes, Sistotremastrales, Sistotremastraceae. The record is from the annotation of a GenBank genome assembly.
GCCUUCUUAGCUCAGUGGUAGAGCGCGUCACUAGUACCUUUCGGCUGCUAUGACGAGGUCAGUCGUUCAAGUCGGCUAGGAGGCA